RNAcentral lists this ribosomal RNA (720 nucleotides) under Comamonas thiooxydans. RNAcentral describes it as "bacterial SSU rRNA". It matches the Rfam family "Bacterial small subunit ribosomal RNA", at positions 28 to 745 of the family's 1533-position model. Lineage: Bacteria; Pseudomonadati; Pseudomonadota; Betaproteobacteria; Burkholderiales; Comamonadaceae. RNAcentral also lists the same sequence under 1 other name. The record is from RNAcentral.
AUUGAACGCUGGCGGCAUGCUUUACACAUGCAAGUCGAACGGUAACAGGUCUUCGGAUGCUGACGAGUGGCGAACGGGUGAGUAAUACAUCGGAACGUGCCUAGUAGUGGGGGAUAACUACUCGAAAGAGUAGCUAAUACCGCAUGAGAUCUACGGAUGAAAGCAGGGGACCUUCGGGCCUUGUGCUACUAGAGCGGCUGAUGGCAGAUUAGGUAGUUGGUGGGGUAAAGGCUUACCAAGCCUGCGAUCUGUAGCUGGUCUGAGAGGACGACCAGCCACACUGGGACUGAGACACGGCCCAGACUCCUACGGGAGGCAGCAGUGGGGAAUUUUGGACAAUGGGCGAAAGCCUGAUCCAGCAAUGCCGCGUGCAGGAUGAAGGCCCUCGGGUUGUAAACUGCUUUUGUACGGAACGAAAAGCCUGGGGCUAAUAUCCCCGGGUCAUGACGGUACCGUAAGAAUAAGCACCGGCUAACUACGUGCCAGCAGCCGCGGUAAUACGUAGGGUGCAAGCGUUAAUCGGAAUUACUGGGCGUAAAGCGUGCGCAGGCGGUUUUGUAAGACAGUGGUGAAAUCCCCGGGCUCAACCUGGGAACUGCCAUUGUGACUGCAAGGCUAGAGUGCGGCAGAGGGGGAUGGAAUUCCGCGUGUAGCAGUGAAAUGCGUAGAUAUGCGGAGGAACACCGAUGGCGAAGGCAAUCCCCUGGGCCUGCACUGACG